Molecule: long non-coding RNA, 699 nt
Organism: Onychostoma macrolepis
Lineage: Eukaryota; Metazoa; Chordata; Actinopteri; Cypriniformes; Cyprinidae
Exons: 3
Source: RefSeq, a predicted model, not a curated record
AGGUCCUCUGGGGGGUUGGCAUCAUAUCUUCUCAGGUGUUCGGUCAUCUCAGGUCUUUGUAAGGGUUGGAUCCAGACUGAAGCUUGGGUAAUUCCUAAACUGUAACCAAUUUUUGUCAUUUGAACAGUAUUUUACUGUAUUAUGUACAGUAAGAUACUGUAAAAUGUAUAUACAGUAUUUUACUGUAAACUGCAAAGCAUUAUGGGAAAAUAUAUGGUCACUACAAUAAACAACUGUAAAUUUACAGUAGUGAACUUGCCCACGAAAAACUGACCAAUGGCAAGUGAGAUUUAUUUUGUUUGCUGUUUGGUGGAAGCAGUGGUAAAAGGACAAAAGAGACACGUUGCACUGUUAACUGGACAAAAAGGUUAGUAUAUUAUUUCUGUUUUAUGCAAAACUGAGAUAUUUUAAGAUGUUUUAACUUGGUAACAGCAAACUAACAUUAUUCAUCGUGUCGUUUUUCAUGUCGGGAGUUAGAGCCUUUUUUCUGACUGAUGGCUGGAUUAACGCCGCCAUAACGGUGAUAACAUCGACUGUCUAGAUUUUGUCGACAACGUCGGAGGUGUAUUUUGGAGCCUCUUCUUGUGAAUGCCAUAGUAUCGAUGAUAACAUCAACUGUUUGUGAUCUUGUGGUCAUGUCGUCUGCAUCGGAGGAGUAUUGGACUCUUUUCCUGUGAUUGCCGUCGUAACAACAGGUGA